RNAcentral lists this long non-coding RNA (297 nucleotides) under Monodelphis domestica (gray short-tailed opossum). Its description in RNAcentral is "lncRNA (ENSMODG00000035777.2)". The record is from RNAcentral. Lineage: Eukaryota; Metazoa; Chordata; Mammalia; Didelphimorphia; Didelphidae.
GUGAAUUCUAGUGUGAAACAGAUACAAUUGGAAAAUCGAAAUAAUGUUGAUGGAAUUUAAUCAGCAUAUCAUUGGGAAUACCUCAAUCUAUACCUCAUGAGAGAUCACCAUCCUACCAUCUAAAAGCCUUCGGUCCUUCAGAGGAAGCUCAUACAUGAUGAGGAGACAGGGGAAAACAGAAUAAAAGACUUGCCCAGGAUCACAUGGCUGAAGCUCAAUUUGAACUCACAUCUCCCUGACUCCAGACCAGUGAUAUCCUAAAAAAAUUCCAGCAUAUACAACAACCACAAGAGAGGA